Molecule: long non-coding RNA, 1083 nt
Organism: Pan troglodytes (chimpanzee)
Lineage: Eukaryota; Metazoa; Chordata; Mammalia; Primates; Hominidae
Exons: 2
Source: RefSeq, a predicted model, not a curated record
GACCACUCCCGACCUGGCUUCCCAUCACCUGCUGAGUUCGCAGUCCCGCAGCUACCGGUGCGGCUCCAGGUUGGAGACCCGCCGGCCCCAUUCCUCUCACCCCCUCAACCCACCCGGAGCUAACCUCAGUCCCCGACCCCCACCCCACCUGCUCAGUCCUCCCUAGGUUCCAGCUUCUGUCAACCUCUUUCAUUUCCCUAAAUACCGCCCCCCGCUGCAAUGCCUCGCCACCCUUGGCUGCCUCCUCUACCCCAGGGCUCCCAGCAAUGCCUGGGUCAGGCGCCUCCUUCACUUGCUGUGAGUCCCUUAUCACAACUGAUCACUCCGUGGGGUCACCGCUGCUCUGGCGUCUACCUCCCCCAACAGCUUGGGGUUUCUAGGAGGGCAGCUCCAGAGGUUGCAGAACACUGUGCUGCCUCUCCAGAGCCAGGCACACAGCAGGCGCUCCAUAAAUGUUCGUUGGAGAUGGAGUACUGCCAUGUUUCCCGUGCUGGUCUCGAACUCCUGGCCUCAAGUGAUGCUCCUGCGUCAGCCUCCCAAAGCACUGGGACUACAGGCAUGAGCCACUGUGCCUGGCUUAGCACCUGCAUUUUUUCUUUCCCUGGGACUCGCACUUUCUCUGCAGCCGCAGUUGUCUUCGGCUGCCCCACUGUGCAGUGUGGACACUGGAGUAUGUUUUCAGGCUUGAGGGGACCCUAGGAAGGGUCACUGGGCCUGACUGUCCAUGAGGUACUGUAGAAUUGCAUCAAGUUAUGGUGGCCAGAUUGAGCAAAUAAAAAUACAGGAUGCCAGGGAAAACUUGUUUCUCUCAUACAAUUUUAAAAAUUGACAUAUAAUUCACAUACCAUAAAAUUAACGCUUUUAAAGUGUGCAAUAAAUUCAGUGUUUUAAGCAUACUCACAGAGUUGUGUAACCAUCACCACGAUCUGAUUCCAGGACAGUUGUAUCAUCCCCAAAAGAAACCCUGUACCUAUUAGCAGCCAGUCCUCAUUCCCCCUCUCUCAGCCCCUGGCAACUACCAAUCUGCUUCCUGUUCUAUGAAUUUUCCUGUGCUGGAUAUUUCAUAAAAAUGAAAACAUAUAA